This 1234-nucleotide ribosomal RNA is filed under the name metagenome. RNAcentral describes it as "bacterial LSU rRNA". It matches the Rfam family "Bacterial large subunit ribosomal RNA", at positions 1564 to 2808 of the family's 2925-position model. The record is from RNAcentral.
UGAAUACGAGACGCUACGGCGUCGAAGCAGUCUAUGUCAUACUUCCAAGAAAAGCUUGCACUGUCAUAAACAAAUAAUGCCUGUACCAUAACCGACACAGGUGGGUAGGUAGAGUAUACUAAGGGGCGCGAGAUAACUCUCUCUAAGGAACUCGGCAAAAUGACUCCGUAACUUCGGGAGAAGGAGUGCCUUAUUUAUAAGGUUGCAAUAACAAGAUCCAAGCAACUGUUUAUCAAAAACACAGGUCUCCGCUAAGUCGUAAGACGAUGUAUGGGGGCUGACGCCUGCCCAGUGCCAGAAGGUUAAAGAAGUUGGUUAGCAUUAGCGAAGCUGAUAACUGAAGCCCUGGUGAACGGCGGCCGUAACAAUAACGGUCCUAAGGUAGCGAAAUUCCUUGUCGGGUAAGUUCCGACCCGCACGAAAGGCGUAAUGAUUUGGAUACUGUCUCAGAGAGGGGCUCGGUGAAAUAGACUUGUCUGUGAAGAUGCGGACUACCUGCACCAGGACAGAAAGACCCUAUGAAGCUUUACUGUAACUUGAAAUUGAAAUUGGACUUUAUUUGCGCAGUAUAGGUGGGAGGCAUUGAUAAUAUUCUUGCGGGAAUGUUGGAGCCAUCAGUGAGAUACCACUCUUGUAAUGUUAGAUUUCUAACUUUGGAUCAUUAUCUGGUCAAAGGACAGUUUCAGGCGGGCAGUUUGACUGGGGCGGUCGCCUCCUAAAUGGUAACGGAGGCGCACAAAGGUUUCCUCUGAACGGGUAGAAAUCGUAUCUAGAGUGUAAAGGCACAAGGAAGCUUGACUGUGAGACCUACAAGUCGAGCAGGGACGAAAGUCGGUCUUAGUGAUCUGACGGUGCUGAGUGGAAAGGCCGUCACUCAACGGAUAAAAGUUACUCUAGGAUAACAGGCUGAUCUCCCCCAAGAGUUCACAUCGACGGGGAGGUUUGGCACCUCGAUGUCGGCUCAUCGCAUCCUGGGGCGGUAGUACGUCCCAAGGGUUGGGCUGUUCGCCCAUGAAAGCGGUACGCGAGCUGGGUUCAGAACGUCGUGAGACAGUUCGGUCCAUAUCCGGUGUAGGCGUUAGAAUAUUGAGAGGAGCCUUCUUUAGUACGAGAGGACCGAGAAGGACAUACCUCUGGUGUACCAGUUAUCGUGCCAACGGUAAACGCUGGGUAGCUAUGUAUGGAGAGGAUAACCGCUGAAAGCAUCUAAGUGGGAAGCCCACCUCAAGAUAAG